Molecule: ribosomal RNA, 367 nt
Filed under: uncultured organism
Description: bacterial LSU rRNA
Rfam family: Bacterial large subunit ribosomal RNA
Source: RNAcentral
CUUUACUGUAGCCUGGAAUUGGGUUCGGGCUUCGCUUGCGCAGGAUAGGUGGGAGACUAUGAAGCUGCCCUUGUGGGGGCAGUGGAGUCAUCAGUGAGAUACCACUCUGUCAAGGCUAGAAUUCUAACCGUCUGCCGUUAUCCGGCGACGGAACAGUAUCAGGUGGGCAGUUUGACUGGGGCGGUCGCCUCCUAAAUGGUAACGGAGGCGCGCAAAGGUUCCCUCAGGCUGGUUGGAAAUCAGCCGAAGAGUGUAAAGGCAGAAGGGAGCUUGACUGCAAGAGCAACAACUCAAGCAGGGACGAAAGUCGGCCUUAGUGAUCCGACGGCGCUGAGUGGAAGGGCCGUCGCUCAACGGAUAAAAGUUA